CCCUGUGGGAAGCAGGAGGGACCACCCUCCAAGGCUAAAUACUACCUAGUGACCGAUAGCGUAUAGUACCGUGAGGGAAAGGUGAAAAGAACCCCGGGAGGGGAGUGAAAUAGAACCUGAAACCCUGCACUUACAAGCUGUGGAAGCACAUUUCUUGUGUGACCGCGUACUUUUUGUAGAACGGGCCAACGAGUUACGUUAAGUAG
This 206-nucleotide ribosomal RNA is filed under the name Clostridioides difficile. Its description in RNAcentral is "partial 23S ribosomal RNA". It matches the Rfam family "Bacterial large subunit ribosomal RNA", at positions 432 to 640 of the family's 2925-position model. The record is from RNAcentral. Lineage: Bacteria; Bacillati; Bacillota; Clostridia; Peptostreptococcales; Peptostreptococcaceae.